CGCAUUCCGUGCUUAGCGACCUGGCUCUAUGUUCUCGCCCACUUCCGGGAGGCAGCAGUGGGGAAUAUUGGACAAUGGGGGAAAGCCUGAUCCAGCCAUUCCGCGUGUGUGAAGAAGGUCUUCGGAUAGUAAAGCACUUUAAGUUGGGAGGAAGGGCAGUAANUUAAUACCUUCGUUUUUGACGUUACCGACAGAAUAAGGACCGUUAGCAAC
RNAcentral lists this ribosomal RNA (213 nucleotides) under uncultured Gammaproteobacteria bacterium. RNAcentral describes it as "partial 16S ribosomal RNA". It matches the Rfam family "Bacterial small subunit ribosomal RNA", at positions 298 to 504 of the family's 1533-position model. Lineage: Bacteria; Pseudomonadati; Pseudomonadota; Gammaproteobacteria. The record is from RNAcentral.